Molecule: long non-coding RNA, 1546 nt
Organism: Canis lupus familiaris (dog)
Lineage: Eukaryota; Metazoa; Chordata; Mammalia; Carnivora; Canidae
Exons: 3
Source: RefSeq, a predicted model, not a curated record
UCCCCGGGCCCCCACCCCCCGACCGGCUCCAGGCCUCCACUCCAGCCCCCUCUCUGCCUGCCACGGGGACGGCGUGGGGGGCUGCAGGCGGCCCUCGUGGAACCCAAGCCGAGGCCUUACAUCUCAGGCGAUUAUGCAAAGUCGAAAAGCCCGACCUCCUUCUGCGUGGUGCGUGGCCAGGCGGGCACAGGCAUCCAUCCCAGCCUGGCAGGUGACCCUCAGCUGGCCCCAGCUCGGUCGCACGUGCCUUCUCAGCAUCCUCUCUCUCGAGCAGUAAAUGAGGCCUGACUCAGGACCCACACUCUCUUAGCAAGCCAAACUUGCUCCUGACCGAGCCCGAGAGCCAGAGGGAGAAUCAAAGGAGGGAUGGCCCUUACCUUGCACGCGGGUCAGAAACCACCAGAGAAAGCCAGGGCGUGAGCCCUGAUCCCAAGAGAGAAGGGGGCUGCUCCUGACUGGCUCACUCCAGAGCCUGGGGACACCCCCGGCGCCAAGGGGGCACGCAACCCAGCACGUGUGGGAGAAACCGGUGGAUUUUUUUUUUUUUUUUUAAGUGAACAACCCGGAAAAGUAUAGCCAGGAUCCGUUCCAAACCCAUCCUGGGACAGAUUAGGAAUCUGAAUCUCAGAGCAGGGACAGGUUUGGACAAAGAAGCCACACGGCAGUUGGAGAGACAAAAGAUCCACACGAGACAAUUUUUGAAAGCUCAGGAGAAGCCAGAAGAUUACUGAGGAUGAGACGAUGCUUCAAGGGAAAUGCCUGCAGUGUUUUAAACCCUCCACUAGGACACAGACACACCUGCCCACCUGCCUCCACCCCGGCGACGCUCUGCGGCCUGCGCUCUUUCCAGGUCCUGGUUGGCCAAGGCCAUUGACUGCCUCUCAACCUCUACCAUCAUGGCGGCUACAGAACGAAGACCCCAUUUCCUAUUAACCAGGGUGAAACACAGAGGUGAAAUCGCCUGCCUGGGCGCCCUGGCUGUGGCUCACUGAAGCGUAUCUGGCAAAGGAAAACCACAGUAAAUCUAAACUUUUCCCGCCUGCUUUCCGCUGUGCCUGAUAGAUUUAAACAGGAACCGUGACAUCCUCUCCAGAACCCCCUGCCAGAUUACCCUCUGACCUCCACUGGAUGGGACAGAAAACAGAAAGAAAUCAUGAGACAUAUGGAAAUAUUUAGUCAUUCCAGAUGCAGACAUACAUCUGAGCAAUUAGAGCAAACGUCACAUUAUAUGGCAGAGUUAGUGCAAGAAACAGGAGAAAAAUGUAGUCUUUAGGUGUUCUUCCAAGAGAACAUUUCAACUAUGAAACUAUGGGAGGCAGUCUUAAAAGGAAAAAAAUCUGAAAAAACUGCUUUUGUGGGGUGAAAAAAAAUAUGAUGGAUAGAUUUUUUUUUUUAGAUGGAGAAUUAGAAGACCAGCUCAAGAGACAUUACCAGGGCUCAAGAUGGGUCAGUAAAUGAAAAAUGAGAAGGAAAUAAGAAAAAGAGGUUAGGAUAAAAAAAAAAAAAGUAGUUUGAAAAGAAAGGAAGAAAGGGGAAUGGGAAGCAA